RNAcentral lists this ribosomal RNA (478 nucleotides) under uncultured bacterium. RNAcentral describes it as "partial 16S ribosomal RNA". It matches the Rfam family "Bacterial small subunit ribosomal RNA", at positions 28 to 523 of the family's 1533-position model. The record is from RNAcentral.
GACGAACGCUGGCGGCGUGCUUAACACAUGCAAGUCGAACGGUAAGGCCCUUCGGGGUACACGAGUGGCGAACGGGUGAGUAACACGUGGGUGAUCUGCCCUGCACUUCGGGAUAAGCCUGGGAAACUGGGUCUAAUACCGGAUAGGACCCUGGGAUGCAUGUCCUGGGGUGGAAAGCUUUUGCGGUGUGGGAUGGGCCCGCGGCCUAUCAGCUUGUUGGUGGGGUGAUGGCCUACCAAGGCGACGACGGGUAGCCGGCCUGAGAGGGUGACCGGCCACACUGGGACUGAGAGACGGCCCAGACUCCUACGGGAGGCAGCAGUGGGGAAGAUUGCACAAUGGGCGCAAGCCUGAUGCAGCGACGCCGCGUGAGGGAUGACGGCCUUCGGGUUGUAAACCUCUUUCAGCACCGACGAAGCGCAAGUGACGGUAGGUGCAGAAGAAGGACCGGCCAACUACGUGCCAGCCGCCGCAGUAA